Molecule: long non-coding RNA, 654 nt
Organism: Daphnia magna
Lineage: Eukaryota; Metazoa; Arthropoda; Branchiopoda; Diplostraca; Daphniidae
Exons: 2
Source: RefSeq, a predicted model, not a curated record
CCGAAUAUCAAAAAGUUAUUGCCAUUUGAUAAGGAUCUGUUGGAAAGGAGGCUUGUUGCAUGGAAAGAAGUUGUUGGAACGAAUUAUGAUAAUUUCCCUAUUGGACUUAUUUGUGUUUGUUCUGACCACUUCCAAUCAGGUAAACCAGCUAACAUUUGCAAUGUAAACGAUAUUGCAAGCUUUAGAUGUUGGUGCUACUUGAUCUUCAUCAGCAUUCCAAGCAGUUUCAGUUCUACGACUUGGGAGUUCAUGCUCAGCAACAGCAAGUUGCAGCAAUGCACUAACAUGAAUGCAGACUCUCCCAAGCCUAUUUUAAUACAACAAUAAAUGAUUACUAGCACACGUAUAAACUUUUGUCAACAAUUGAUUACCCAGCAGCACAGUCACAAUAUGCAACUUUAACUUUUCCAUCAGAAUGUAUUGCAGCCCACGGUGUUGUUGGGUUAAUUCCUAGAGAUUGUGAGUGAGUUAUAUGACUGCGAAUGAUCACAAUGCCAUUGGGAAGUGGAAAGGCAAGAAGUUUAUCGGCAAAAGUGUUAUAUACAUAUUGGGGAGAACCGUUUAGAUUUUUGUAUGCCUCAAACUUCUCACCAUCACUGCCAUUCCGUUCAAUAACUAAAUAUAGAACUAAAUGUUUAUUUUUUAUUGGAGGAA